Molecule: ribosomal RNA, 253 nt
Filed under: uncultured bacterium
Lineage: Bacteria
Description: partial 16S ribosomal RNA
Rfam family: Bacterial small subunit ribosomal RNA
Source: RNAcentral
UACGUAGGGUGCAGGCGUUAAUCGGAAUUACUGGGCGUAAAGCGUGCGCAGGCGGUUUGCUAAGACAGGUGUGAAAUCCCCGGGCUCAACCUGGGAAUGGCAAUGGAUACUGGCAAGCUAGAGUGUGUCAGAGGAUGGUGGAAUUCCCGGUGUAGCGGUGAAAUGCGUAGAGAUCGGGAGGAACAUCAGUGGCGAAGGCGGCCAUCUGGGACAACACUGACGCUGAGGCACGAAAGCUAGGGGAGCAAACAGG